AGAGUUUGAUCCUGGCUCAGGAUCAACGCUGGCGGCGUGCCUAAUGCAUGCAAGUCGAACGGGUUGCUUUCGGGCAAUCACGUGGCGGACGGGUGCGUAACACGUGGGCAAUCUGCCCCGAGGUGGGGGAUAGCCAUCGGAAACGGUGGGUAAUUCCGCAUGAGCUCGCUUUUCUGUGGGGAGAGUGAGGAAAGCCGAAAGGCGCCUUGGGAGGAGCCUGCGGCCGAUUAGCUAGUUGGUGGGGUAACGGCCUACCAAGGCGAUGAUCGGUAGCUGGUCUGAGAGGACGGCCAGCCACACGGGGACUGAGAGACGGCCCCGACUCCUACGGGAGGCAGCAGCAAGGAAUCUUCCGCAAUGGGCGAAAGCCUGACGGAGCAACGCCGCGUGGGGGAAGACGCUUUUCGGAGUGUAAACCCCUUUUCUUGGGGACGAAAGACUGACGGUACCCGAGGAAGAAGGACCGGCUAACUACGUGCCAGCAGCCGCGGUAAUACGUAGGGUCCGAGCGUUGUCCGGAGUUACUGGGCGUAAAGCGCGCGCAGGCGGCUUCAUAAGACUGGCGUGAAAGCCUCCGGCUCAACCGGAGAGGGUCGUCGGUGACUGUGGAGCUUGAGAGUGGCAGGGGCUGGUGGAAUGCCUGGUGUAGUGGUGAAAUGCGUAGAGAUCAGGCGGAACACCCGUGGCGAAGGCGGCCAGCUGGGCCAAAUCUGACGCUGAGGCGCGAAGGCGUGGGGAGCGAACGGGAUUAGAUACCCCGGUAGUCCACGCAGUAAACGAUGCAGACUAGGCGUGGGGGGACUUGACCCCUUCCGUGCCGGAGCCAACGCGGUAAGUCUGCCGCCUGGGGAGUACGGCCGCAAGGCUAAAACUCAAAGGAAUUGACGGGGGCCCGCACAAGCGGCGGAGCGUGCGGUUUAAUUCGACACAACGCGCAGAACCUUACCAAGGCUUGACAUGCGACUGCAGGCCCCGGAAACGGGGCGUCCCUUGAGGGUGUCGCACAGGUGCUGCAUGGCUGUCGUCAGCUCGUGCCGUGAGGUGUUGGGUUAAGUCCCGCAACGAGCGCAACCCCCGCUGCCAGUUGAAUGAUCUGGCGGGACUGCCGGUCGCAAACCGGAGGAAGGUGGGGAUGACGUCAAGUCAGCAUGGCCCUUACGUCUUGGGCUACACGCACGCUACAAUGGCCGGGACAGAGGGUUGCCAAGCCGUGAGGCGGAGCCAAUCCCCCAAACCCGGUCUCAGUUCAGAUCGUGGGCUGCAACUCGCCCACGUGAAGUCGGAGUCGCUAGUAACCGCAGGUCAGCAGUACUGCGGUGAAUAUGUUCCCGGGCCUUGUACACACCGCCCGUCACGUCAUGAAAGCCGGCAAUGCCUGAAGCCGGUGGGCCAACCUUCGGGAGGCAGCCGUCGAGGGCAGGGUUGGUGAUUGGGACGAAGUCGUAACAAGGUA
Molecule: ribosomal RNA, 1453 nt
Filed under: metagenome
Description: bacterial SSU rRNA
Rfam family: Bacterial small subunit ribosomal RNA
Source: RNAcentral